Molecule: ribosomal RNA, 1434 nt
Filed under: Faucicola osloensis
Lineage: Bacteria; Pseudomonadati; Pseudomonadota; Gammaproteobacteria; Moraxellales; Moraxellaceae
Description: bacterial SSU rRNA
Rfam family: Bacterial small subunit ribosomal RNA
Source: RNAcentral
UGGCGGCAGGCUUAACACAUGCAAGUCGAACGAUGACUCUCUAGCUUGCUAGAGAAGAUUAGUGGCGGACGGGUGAGUAACAUUUAGGAAUCUGCCUAGUAGUGGGGGAUAGCUCGGGGAAACUCGAAUUAAUACCGCAUACGACCUACGGGUGAAAGGGGGCGCAAGCUCUUGCUAUUAGAUGAGCCUAAAUCAGAUUAGCUAGUUGGUGGGGUAAAGGCCCACCAAGGCGACGAUCUGUAACUGGUCUGAGAGGAUGAUCAGUCACACCGGAACUGAGACACGGUCCGGACUCCUACGGGAGGCAGCAGUGGGGAAUAUUGGACAAUGGGGGCAACCCUGAUCCAGCCAUGCCGCGUGUGUGAAGAAGGCCUUUUGGUUGUAAAGCACUUUAAGCAGGGAGGAGAGGCUAAUGGUUAAUACCCAUUAGAUUAGACGUUACCUGCAGAAUAAGCACCGGCUAACUCUGUGCCAGCAGCCGCGGUAAUACAGAGGGUGCGAGCGUUAAUCGGAAUUACUGGGCGUAAAGCGAGUGUAGGUGGCUCAUUAAGUCACAUGUGAAAUCCCCGGGCUUAACCUGGGAACUGCAUGUGAUACUGGUGGUGCUAGAAUAUGUGAGAGGGAAGUAGAAUUCCAGGUGUAGCGGUGAAAUGCGUAGAGAUCUGGAGGAAUACCGAUGGCGAAGGCAGCUUCCUGGCAUAAUAUUGACACUGAGAUUCGAAAGCGUGGGUAGCAAACAGGAUUAGAUACCCUGGUAGUCCACGCCGUAAACGAUGUCUACUAGCCGUUGGGGUCCUUGAGACUUUAGUGGCGCAGUUAACGCGAUAAGUAGACCGCCUGGGGAGUACGGCCGCAAGGUUAAAACUCAAAUGAAUUGACGGGGGCCCGCACAAGCGGUGGAGCAUGUGGUUUAAUUCGAUGCAACGCGAAGAACCUUACCUGGUCUUGACAUAGUGAGAAUCUUUCAGAGAUGAGAGAGUGCCUUCGGGAAUUCACAUACAGGUGCUGCAUGGCUGUCGUCAGCUCGUGUCGUGAGAUGUUGGGUUAAGUCCCGCAACGAGCGCAACCCUUUUCCUUAUUUGCCAGCGGGUUAAGCCGGGAACUUUAAGGAUACUGCCAGUGACAAACUGGAGGAAGGCGGGGACGACGUCAAGUCAUCAUGGCCCUUACGACCAGGGCUACACACGUGCUACAAUGGUAGGUACAGAGGGUUGCUACACAGCGAUGUGAUGCUAAUCUCAAAAAGCCUAUCGUAGUCCGGAUUGGAGUCUGCAACUCGACUCCAUGAAGUCGGAAUCGCUAGUAAUCGCAGAUCAGAAUGCUGCGGUGAAUACGUUCCCGGGCCUUGUACACACCGCCCGUCACACCAUGGGAGUCUAUUGCACCAGAAGUAGGUAGCCUAACGAAAGAGGGCGCUUACCACGGUGUGGUCGA